Molecule: transfer RNA, 75 nt
Filed under: Chitinophagaceae bacterium
Lineage: Bacteria; Pseudomonadati; Bacteroidota; Chitinophagia; Chitinophagales; Chitinophagaceae
Also listed under: 5 other names
Description: tRNA-Thr
Rfam family: tRNA
About the family: Transfer RNA (tRNA) molecules are approximately 80 nucleotides in length. Their secondary structure includes four short double-helical elements and three loops (D, anti-codon, and T loops).
Source: RNAcentral
GCCGUUGUAGCUCAGGGGUAGAGCACUUCCUUGGUAAGGAAGAGGUCGUGAGUUCAAUUCUCAUCAACGGCUCAA